UACAGAGGGUGCAAGCGUUGUUCGGAAUCACUGGGCGUAAAGCGCGUGUAGGCGGUCGGGCAAGUCCGAUGUGAAAGCCCAUGGCUUAACCAUGGAAGGGCAUUGGAAACUGCUUGGCUUGAGUACGGGAGAGGGAGGCGGAAUUCCCGGUGUAGAGGUGAAAUUCGUAGAUAUCGGGAAGAACACCGGCGGCGAAGGCGGCCUCCUGGACCGUUACUGACGCUAAGACGCGAAAGCGUGGGGAGCAAACAGG
Molecule: ribosomal RNA, 253 nt
Filed under: uncultured prokaryote
Description: partial 16S ribosomal RNA
Rfam family: Bacterial small subunit ribosomal RNA
Source: RNAcentral